AAUAGAUACCCGGGUAGUCCACGCCGUAAACGAUGAGUGCUAAGUGUUGGGGGGUUUCCGCCCCUCAGUGCUGCAGCUAACGCAUUAAGCACUCCGCCUGGGGAGUACGGUCGCAAGACUGAAACUCAAAGGAAUUGACGGGGGCCCGCACAAGCGGUGGAGCAUGUGGUUUAAUUCGAAGCAACGCGAAGAACCUUACCAGGUCUUGACAUCCCGGUGACCACUAUGGAGACAUAGUUUCCCCUUCGGGGGCAACGGUGACAGGUGGUGCAUGGUUGUCGUCAGCUCGUGUCGUGAGAUGUUGGGUUAAGUCCCGCAACGAGCGCAACCCUUAUUCUUAGUUGCCAUCAUUCAGUUGGGCACUCUAAGGAGACUGCCGGUGAUAAACCGGAGGAAGGUGGGGAUGACGUCAAAUCAUCAUGCCCCUUAUGACCUGGGCUACACACGUGCUACAAUGGACGGUACAAACGGUUGCCAACCCGCGAGGGGGGGCUAAUCCGAUAAAACCGUUCUCAGUUCGGAUUGUAGGCUGCAACUCGCCUACAUGAAGACC
Molecule: ribosomal RNA, 553 nt
Filed under: uncultured bacterium
Lineage: Bacteria
Description: bacterial SSU rRNA
Rfam family: Bacterial small subunit ribosomal RNA
Source: RNAcentral